This 253-nucleotide ribosomal RNA is filed under the name uncultured bacterium. RNAcentral describes it as "partial 16S ribosomal RNA". It matches the Rfam family "Bacterial small subunit ribosomal RNA", at positions 524 to 776 of the family's 1533-position model. The record is from RNAcentral.
UACGUAGGGUGCGAGCGUUAAUCGGAAUUACUGGGCGUAAAGCGUGCGCAGGCGGUUUUGUAAGCCAGGUGUGAAAUCCCCGGGCUCAACCUGGGAAUGGCAUUUGGGACUGCAAGGCUGGAGUGUGGCAGAGGAGACUGGAAUUCCUGGUGUAGCAGUGAAAUGCGUAGAUAUUGGGAGGAACACCGGUGGCGAAGGCGGCCCUCUGGACCGAAACUGACACUGAAGCGCGAAAGCUAGGGGAGCAAACGGG